GGGGAAUAUUGGACAAUGGGCGCAAGCCUGAUCCAGCCAUGCCGCGUGAGUGAAGAAGGCCUUCGGGUUGUAAAGCUCUUUCAGGUGGAAAGAAAACGCAUAGGUUAAUACCUUGUGCGGAUGACGGUACCAUCAGAAGAAGCACCGGCUAACUACGUGCCAGCAGCCGCGGUAAUACGUAGGGUGCGAGCGUUAAUCGGAAUUACUGGGCGUAAAGCGUGCGCAGGCGGUUAUGUAAGACAGAUGUGAAAUCCCCGGGCUCAACCUGGGAACUGCGUUGGUGACUGCAUAACGAGAGUACGGAAGAGGGGGGUGAAAUUCCGGGUGUAGCAGUGAAAUGCGUAGGUAUGCGGAGAAACACCGAUGGCGAAGGCAGCCUCGGGGGCCAGUACUGACGCUCAUGCAUGAAAGCGUGGGGAGAAAAC
This 425-nucleotide ribosomal RNA is filed under the name uncultured bacterium. RNAcentral's name for it is "bacterial SSU rRNA". It matches the Rfam family "Bacterial small subunit ribosomal RNA", at positions 356 to 773 of the family's 1533-position model. The record is from RNAcentral.